Long non-coding RNA from Prunus mume (Japanese apricot), 785 nucleotides. RefSeq lists it as uncharacterized. NCBI's taxonomy places the organism in Eukaryota, Viridiplantae, Streptophyta, Magnoliopsida, Rosales, Rosaceae. The record is from RefSeq and is a predicted model, not a curated record.
UUCAAGACAAUUUCAUUUUCAAGCUUUUUGGAUUUGUUGAACUUGGAUUGUAUUGAUAUUUUAGUAUCAGCUACAAAAACAAAAAUUAGUAUUCUUAGGGAAGAUCAAUUAUAACGACACUAUUUAUUUGAGGAAAUGCAUUUUCUUGUAAAAUUUGUUUCCGUUUACAGAAGAUGCGUGUUUGGUAGAGUUAGAGUGAAGUAUUAAAGAGAGAAAAAUAAAUGGAAGUUCUAAACAUGAAAAGCGAGGUUACUAACGCUCUCACCAUGAUCAUGGUGAACUUGAUGGACAGGAAUUUGGUUUUGGUAGCGUUGUUAUGUGCAGGGUUGAUGGUGUGGUCAUGAAAUGUAGUUUCUGAUUUACAAUGUGUUUGACUAUUGGAAUAUCUAAUAGAGGCAUAUGUAGUGGACCCUGCAAGAUGAAGUGGUAAGCCCUCUUUGAUGAUUUGAACCCACAAGUGCCUCUUAUCAAAAAUACUACAGUGUUUGAAUGGUCACUGGAGUUGGAUGGGCUGAAGACUGAAGAACGUUCCCUUGAUAUGCUUCAACCAGCUUCUAAAGGCAUGCAUAUUCAGGUUCCGAAACUGCGGUAUUUGACCUUUGGCUUAAUAUUCAAUCAGUUUACUCUCGAAGCCUGGACAGUGACAAAACCAGGUGGUUUGAGAAUUGGGGUGUCAGACGUCCUUUUAAGUUCACAUUUUUUGUGGGUUCUAAUGAUCAGUCAAUGGAUGUCAUUUUUGUGUUCAUGAAUGAAAGAAAGUGGCUAUAUGUAGAUUGAAAACUUGA